This 242-nucleotide long non-coding RNA is filed under the name Vitis vinifera (wine grape). RNAcentral describes it as "long non-coding RNA (VVIN_LNC004147)". Lineage: Eukaryota; Viridiplantae; Streptophyta; Magnoliopsida; Vitales; Vitaceae. The record is from RNAcentral.
CGUGCGACAAUUCCUAAAGAAAAUUUUGGCUGCCAGUUAUUGAAUAUGCCAAAAACGUAAACACUAGUACUCGAGGAAUUGGAUUCUGAUGGGUAAGAUGCGUGUCCAGGACGGCUGUGAGGGAGGCCAUACAGAUAAAACUCGUGUUGAACGAGCCAGACGUAUAUGCAUGCGCGACUCCAUAGGCGACAAACUCAACAGUCCUGUUGCAUAUGCUGGCCCUUCUCGAUUUCUUUAUGAUG